This 491-nucleotide ribosomal RNA is filed under the name uncultured Planctomycetota bacterium. Its description in RNAcentral is "bacterial SSU rRNA". It matches the Rfam family "Bacterial small subunit ribosomal RNA", at positions 355 to 852 of the family's 1533-position model. Lineage: Bacteria; Pseudomonadati; Planctomycetota. The record is from RNAcentral.
UCGAGGAUCUUCGGCAAUGGGCGCAAGCCUGACCGAGCGACGCCGCGUGCGCGAUGAAGGCCUUCGGGUUGUAAAGCGCUGUCGAGGGAGAGUAAGGUCCGCAAGGGCUUGAACGAUCCCUGGAGGAAGCACGGGCUAAGUUCGUGCCAGCAGCCGCGGUAAGACGAACCGUGCGAACGUUGUUCGGAAUCACUGGGCUUAAAGGGCGCGUAGGCGGGCAGCCAAGUCGGGGGUGAAAUACUCCAGCUCAACUGGAGAAUUGCCCCCGAUACUGGCCGUCUCGAGGGAGGUAGGGGCACGCGGAACUUCCGGUGGAGCGGUGAAAUGCGUUGAGAUCGGAAGGAACGCCGGCGGCGAAAGCGGCGUGCUGGACCUCUUCUGACGCUGAGGCGCGAAAGCCAGGGGAGCGAACGGGAUUAGAUACCCCGGUAGUCCUGGCCCUAAACGAUGGGUACUAGGCAGGGGACCAGGCAUGGGUUCCCUGCCGGAGC